This is a long non-coding RNA of Prunus dulcis (almond), 540 nucleotides long. RefSeq lists it as uncharacterized. The transcript has 3 exons. The record is from RefSeq and is a predicted model, not a curated record. NCBI's taxonomy places the organism in Eukaryota, Viridiplantae, Streptophyta, Magnoliopsida, Rosales, Rosaceae.
UAUUUCACCUCGAUUUGAUUCAGAAUUUCGAAAUUUGUUUGCCUUCGUUCCCCGGGCAAGGCAAAACCCUCCUCAUUCUUCAAUUUCCAUAAACAAUCACUGUACGGUUAUCAGAAGGAGCUAUUAACAAUGAGUGAUUCAGGUGUGGUAUGGUAUAUAUAUAUAUGGGGCCAGUUUCUUACGGUGGUGCGCAUGCUCUGGUGGGUGAUGGGAUUGGUUUUCCAAAGUCGAUCAAUUUUUUCGCACCAAGUGACCAAAUCUAUCCAAAGGCCCGUUGCUUCUCUAUUCUUUGCACAUAUACUUGCUCCUCGAACUCAUCCUAGCCGUCGCUGCAACCCUGGCUCGAGCCCUCCUAGCCAUCGAUCGAGCUGGAGCCACAGUUCAACGAGCCCUACCUCUCCACCUCACUCCAAGACUUCUAGGGCAAACAAUGGAACCUCAUGGUUAUCAGCAUCCUACGACCCACCGUUGCCCGCAGUGCUCGCACUAUUAUAUCCUUAAUUUUAUUUUUUUCAUUUUUUAUUUAUUUUUAAUGUACAA